UGCAAGCAAGCUCUCAUCGUGAGGUUUGA
This 29-nucleotide non-coding RNA is filed under the name Rattus norvegicus (Norway rat). The record is from RNAcentral. Lineage: Eukaryota; Metazoa; Chordata; Mammalia; Rodentia; Muridae.